UACGUAGGUGGCGAGCGUUAUCCGGAAUGAUUGGGCGUAAAGGGUGCGUAGGCGGCCUGCUAAGUCUGGAGUGAAAGGUACCGGCUCAACCGGUACAGGCUCUGGAAACUGGCGGGCUAGAGAGCAGGAGAGGGCGGUGGAACUCCAUGUGUAGCGGUAAAAUGCGUAGAUAUAUGGAAGAACACCAGUGGCGAAGGCGGCCGCCUGGCCUGUUGACUGACGCUGAGGCACGAAAGCGUGGGGAGCAAAUAGG
RNAcentral lists this ribosomal RNA (253 nucleotides) under uncultured bacterium. Its description in RNAcentral is "partial 16S ribosomal RNA". It matches the Rfam family "Bacterial small subunit ribosomal RNA", at positions 524 to 776 of the family's 1533-position model. The record is from RNAcentral.